GAUGAAGAACGCAGCGAAAUGCGAUAAGUAAUGUGAAUUGCAGAGUUCAGUGAAUCAUCGAAUCUUUGAACGCACAUUGCGCCCGCCAGUAUUCUGGCGGGCAUGCCUGUUCGAGCGUCAUUUCAACCCUCAAGCACAGCUUGGUGUUGGGACUCGCGUUAAUUCGCGUUCCCCAAAUUGAUUGGCGGUCACGUCGAGCUUCCAUAGCGUAGUAGUAAAACCCUCGUUACUGGUAAUCGUCGCGGCCACGCCGUUAAACCCCAACUUCUGAAUGUUGACCUCGGAUCAGGUAGGAAUACCCGCUGAACUUAAGCAUAUCAAUAAGCGGAGGA
Molecule: unclassified non-coding RNA, 332 nt
Filed under: soil metagenome
Description: partial contains 5.8S ribosomal RNA, internal transcribed spacer 2, and large subunit ribosomal RNA
Rfam family: 5.8S ribosomal RNA (bases 1-120)
Source: RNAcentral